RNAcentral lists this long non-coding RNA (961 nucleotides) under Capra hircus (goat). Its description in RNAcentral is "lncRNA (ENSCHIG00000002530.1)". The record is from RNAcentral. Lineage: Eukaryota; Metazoa; Chordata; Mammalia; Artiodactyla; Bovidae.
UGAAGAUCUAAUGUACAGCAUGGUAACUAUAAUUAGUAAUGCUGUAUGUGGGAAUUAACUGGUGGUCCAGUAGCUAAGACGUGAGGCUCCCAAGGCAGGGGGCCCAAGUUCAAUCCUUGGUCAGGGAACUAGAUCUGACAAGCUGCAACUAAAGAUGCUGUGUGCCACAACUAAGGCUUGGUAGAGCCAAAUAAAUAAAUAAAUAUUUUUAAAAAUAAUAAUAAUGUUAUAUUGUGUACCUGAGAGCUGCUAAGGGAAUAGCUCUUAAGUGUUCUUACCACACACACACAGACAAAAAGAGAUAACUGUAAGAUAAUGGAUGUAUUAAUUAACUUGAUUAUGGUAAUCAUUUUAUAAUGUACAUGUAUAUCAAGUCAUCUUGUGCACCUUAAAUAUAUGCAAUUUUGUCAAUUAUACUUCAAUAAAGCUGAAAAAAAAAAAACACCAUGCCUCAGUGUCUUCUCAAAUGAGAAGCAUCUGAAUGAGCAGCUAAUGCGUGAAGCAAGAACUGAAAGCAGAAAGAAGAUGGAUCAAGAGGACAGGAGAGAUAAGCAAACAAAGCAGCAUCUUCCAUGGACAUCAGUACCUUUUCCCAACAAGUCCAAGACCCAGGGCUCCAAAAUACCACUCAUAAGACCUGUGAGACAUUCACCUGUGCAGAGAACUGUGAAUGAUCAAUAUGUAUGAUCUGAGAAAAGCCAAAUAAUGCACAAACACUUCCAUUCUGACUCUUCAAUUUCUGCACUCAUAUACGUGGAACGCUAUAAAAGACAGAAAACAAAGUAAGUAUAUUUCUGGGAAGAUCAGCAACCUGUUUGUUUCUUUGUGCAACUGAGCUGAAUUUCUGGAAAGAAUUGAGAGGAAAAAAUAAUUUCAAGUUCAUGUUUUUCUCUAAAUUUUAGAUAUAAUUUCUCUGUGCCAAAUGAAGUACUGAAAGUUAACAGACUUCAUGAAUUUCCAC